Molecule: long non-coding RNA, 2264 nt
Filed under: Anas platyrhynchos platyrhynchos (common mallard)
Lineage: Eukaryota; Metazoa; Chordata; Aves; Anseriformes; Anatidae
Description: lncRNA (ENSAPLG00000026186.1)
Source: RNAcentral
ACACAAUAGAACUGCUUACCUGUCUUAUCAAAUGUCAGAGAUAAUUUUUAGAAGCUGUUCCUGUAUCCCUGCAUCACAGGAAUACUUCACAUGCUACUACCUAAAGUAAAACUGUCACUGAAUUUAGGGGGGGGCAGAUCAGGCACGCACAGAAGCUUUGGAUUAUACCAAUCACUUAAUUUUAAGAGAUGCCAUAUGAUGCCAGAAUGAAUGAACAAUUAUAGCCAUGUUGAUCCUUAUUUGAAAAACAAAUGACCAGUUAUAGCCUAGCCAUGUCCUGUCCUUCCAAAAAAAACAAACAAAAAGUUGCUUUAGAAAGUGAAAAUGUAUUAAGACCCAGUGCAGACAAGAAUAAGCAAGACCAACCACCCAAGAAAGUCAAGCUGAGAUCAACCACAGGUUGGAGCUGGAGGUCUAUCCAGAGCCAGGUACCUUCAAAGUAUUUUUUACACAGGUCCCUAUUUCUGAUAAAGACACUGUAAUGUGAUACUCUCAUCUAUACCAGAUGGUACAAGUCCCUGAUGAAUCAUACGCCAGCUGCAGCCAGAACACAACACUCCAACUACACUGCUUCUUUCCUCUCUCCGUGUGCCCAGCACAGCAAGGCUAUUCUGAAACUCAGGCUUACGAACACUCAAAGCAGCAGAAAUGUGUCGGAGGAUCUAUAUAGUUGUCCAUAGCAAGUAUAAGAAAAAUGACAGCUUCCAGAGACACACACUUUGUGCUCUUCCUACUAGUUUCUUCAGGCAAAAAGAAAAUACAAAGACAGGUUCCUUAGUCUAUUGCCUAUGUUUGGUCCGAGAAGUUGGAAGGACAAUUUUCUCCAUCACACAAAUGGUCCAUUGCUGUUUUCCCUUGUUAUUUUUGCAUUAAAUUUAAGGGUGCCAUUUCAACGUCAGCCCAGUAUCACCAGAGACUUGCUUUGCUCUGCAGUACAGUGGGGCUCCUAACUGCCCCACCGCAGCACUAACGUCUGUGCUCAUGUGCCUACCUAAUGUAAUUAGCAACAUGUACAGCUUGCAAGGGAGAAAGAAGGUUGAUACUAACACAUGGUUAAUUAAGAUAUUACAGUUAGCUAUUUGCUAGGCUGGCUCAGGGGAGUGGUAAUAGGAGAUGAAGUCUUUCACUUUAAGUUCAGCAGUUUUUACCCCCAAAUUCCCAGGCAGUGAUCAGUAAUUCCUCAUUAACCCUGGCACAAAAUGAAUCUGACUCCACUCAGGCAUGUGGAUGACUUUUAAGCACGUCUGUCAACAAGGAGAGUCACUGUCUCUGACAAUUAAAUUUCAAAAUGAAGACCCCCAGUGCUGUGAGUGAAUAGGAAAAGUUGAUGCCUCCCUGGAGAAUCAUUUUAGCUUUUUCUUUUUUGUCGUGAGACUCAACAAGCUAUCAUGAUAUCAGCAGAUAAAUAUUAAAAUUCUGAAGAUUACACAUUGUUACAUAUUGAAUGGUGCCACUGAAAGACAAACAGCUAAUACUACUACAAUUAUAAAAGCUGUAAAAAACAUAAUUAAAAAACAAAACAAAACAAAACAAAACAAAACACAACCACACCUUAUCACCUUAUUUAUAAUGAAUCUGCAAGAGGACCCUAAAUUCACAGUCCUACUUGCACUGCCAAGAAUGUAAAGAAUCAUUGCUUCUUGACAUCAUUCUUUUGCUGAAGGGCAAUAACCUCCUCUGUAUGCAUUGCCUUAAUCAUGUCAAGUUGUGUCCCAUAAAUUUGCAUGUCUCCCAAGGAAGCACAGUGCAUUGCCAGCAGCCUGAUAGGCCAGAUCAAAACAAUUUCCUAAUGUAUGUUUACAUCAGUUUUGGCUCCUGAGCUGCUCUUGUUCUAGUUGUUCCCCAAAACAGAGCCAAUUCCUUCUCUUCAAACUCUGUUGCACAGGGCACAGGAGGCGGAAUAGGCAGAAUGUGCAUGGAUACAUUGUCCUUGCCCAAAGUGGGCAAUGCUUUCUAGAUUAAUGAACUGCAAAUCAGACACACAAAUGAAACCACAUGCUAGAUAUAAACCCAGUCCUCUGAGAUGUGCUUGUUGUCACAGUCAGAGGGAGAGGGAGAAGGAAGGUGGGGGAGUGGGGGUGGGGAGAGAGCGCACAUGUGUGUGAUGGGGGUGUAAUGAAUGCCAGCUACCCUCUCAACUCUCUGGGAUACACGGGGAUGACAAACUCUCUGAGGAACAAUUCCUUUGACUGUUUCGUUGAGGAAAGGAAACUUGUCAUGCUGCCAAGAAUAAAACUGCUUCUGGGCUUAGUUUUGAAUUUUAU